AAUUCUCAACCCUCUUUGCUUUUUUGGCGAACGUAGGGAUUGGACUUGGAGGCUUUGCCGGGCUACAUUCUGGUUGCUCGGCUCCUCUCAAAUGCAUUAGUGCGUCUUGUUGCGACGUGCGCCUCGGUGUGAUAAUUAUCUACGCUGUGGUGCGCUCGCUUCUGUUGGAGACACGCUUUCUAACCGUCCCGUAAAGGACAGCUUUCAUCGAA
Molecule: unclassified non-coding RNA, 212 nt
Filed under: Stereum subtomentosum
Lineage: Eukaryota; Fungi; Basidiomycota; Agaricomycetes; Russulales; Stereaceae
Description: partial internal transcribed spacer 2
Source: RNAcentral